UACGUAGGGGGCAAGCGUUGUCCGGAAUCAUUGGGCGGAAAGAGCGUGUAGGCGGCCCGGUAAGUCCGCUGUGAAAGUCGGGGGCUCAACCCUCGGAUGCCGGUGGAUACUGUCGGGCUUGAGUACGGAAGAGGCGAGUGGAAUUCCUGGUGUAGCGGUGAAAUGCGCAGAUAUCAGGAGGAACACCAAUUGCGAAGGCAGCUCGCUGGGACGUUACUGACGCUGAGACGCGAAAGCGUGGGGAGCAAACAGG
RNAcentral lists this ribosomal RNA (253 nucleotides) under uncultured bacterium. Its description in RNAcentral is "partial 16S ribosomal RNA". It matches the Rfam family "Bacterial small subunit ribosomal RNA", at positions 524 to 776 of the family's 1533-position model. The record is from RNAcentral.